UGGAAACGUGCAUUAAGUUAUUGGCCUUAUAUAAAUUAGGAUAAAAUUCAAAUAUCAUUUUUAUAGUUUUAAUUGUAUCAAUUUAGUAUCCUGUAGUUUUAUUUUUCUUCUUUCGUCAGCUCCCUCCGUUAAUAUUUUGUUAAAUUAUAUACAAAAAACUUCAGAUAUCCCACCUAAGUUUAUCGAAUAUUUAUUUUAAUAUCAUUUAGUUUUAGCUUUGUCGCUAAUUUAAUAAAAAAAAAUAGUGGGGGAAAUAAUAAAAAGAGAAAAAGAAACCACGAAGUAUUGAAUUGAUAUACUUUAAAUCAUAGGAUACUAAAAUAAAAAAAUACGAAAUCACAGUAAUGAUAUUUGAAGUUUUCUCUAUAAAUUAUAAAUUAUUUUUAGUCGACUAUAUAUCAAAUAUUUUAAAAUUUUGGCUUUAUUAUCCCACCUUUCUAUUUGCUUAAUUUAAGUUAGUCAACGACAGUUUAGUUUC
RNAcentral lists this long non-coding RNA (478 nucleotides) under Ananas comosus (pineapple). RNAcentral describes it as "long non-coding RNA (ACOM_LNC037341)". The record is from RNAcentral. Lineage: Eukaryota; Viridiplantae; Streptophyta; Magnoliopsida; Poales; Bromeliaceae.